This 212-nucleotide long non-coding RNA is filed under the name Lathyrus oleraceus (garden pea). RNAcentral describes it as "Pisum sativum (pea) long non-coding RNA (PSAT_LNC007258)". The record is from RNAcentral. Lineage: Eukaryota; Viridiplantae; Streptophyta; Magnoliopsida; Fabales; Fabaceae.
AGUUGUUGUUUUUGCUAGUGAUGUGUGUAUGUUUUUUUAUGCUGCUGAACUGAUGCUCUGAUUGAUUUAUUGUGAUCGUGUGUUCUGUUGUUUGUUUUAGCCAAAAUUUUCCAAAGGGGAAGUUUGUUGGUUCUAUGAAUUGGCAUUAAUUUUGGUAAAACUUAGUGUUAUCACAAGAAGUCACGCUUGUAGUCUUGACAUGUGAUAUCAAC